Zalophus californianus (California sea lion) is the source of this 671-nucleotide long non-coding RNA. RefSeq lists it as uncharacterized. The record is from RefSeq and is a predicted model, not a curated record. NCBI's taxonomy places the organism in Eukaryota, Metazoa, Chordata, Mammalia, Carnivora, Otariidae. The transcript is spliced from 3 exons.
ACUCAGCUACCCACCUCAUGGGACAACUGUGAGGAUGACUGAAAUAAUGAAUCAUGAAGAGCUUUGUGCUCGUGGGAGUAAGAGCACUUUAUGAGUGCCCAUUUAUCGUCAUUAGUAGCAAGAUUGAUAUUUUCCUUGGGAUUUCAUUAAGAAGACUGAAUAUACAAAGCACACUAUCCUGUGUCAACCAAUCUUGGGACACAACGCUUGUCAUCAAGAUGACGAUUACAACAUAUUCAUUCCUAUGGUGAUCCUUUCCUACCACAGAUCCUUCCUUGGGAAACACUCCCACCUGAUAGAACCAGAGAGAGACUCUCUCCAAGUUCAGGGAGAAGAAAGGUUCCUAAUCUCACAGCACUGCUGAAUCACUACAGAACAUCGAACACCAUCCAGGCACGGCUGUCCCACUAGCCCAAAAGGGCAGCGACGUACCCUCAACACAGUCCGAUCGGGUUUCCACGCUCUUCCUUUUUGACGAGUCUGCCUGUCAGCUGGAAGGGGGUUUCCCCAGGACACCUGACAGUGAAUAAAGUUCUCUGUGCCUCCCUUUGCCCAUUUGCCUGCUGGGGAAAUUUGGGAGAUUCUUAAAAGCUCCAUUUCUGAAAGCAGGGAUUUUGUUUUGUUGACUGCCUUAUUCGCAACACUGAACAGAGCGCCUGGCACACAGAAAU